GACGUAGGGCGCGAGCGUUGUCCGGAUUUAUUGGGCGUAAAGAGCUCGUAGGCGGCCUGUUGCGUCCGCUGUGAAAUCCCGGGGCUUAACCCCGGGCGUGCAGUGGAUACGGGCGGGCUGGAGGCAGGCAGGGGAGAACGGAAUUCCUGGUGUAGCGGUGAAAUGCGCAGAUAUCAGGAGGAACACCAGUGGCGAAGGCGGUUCUCUGGGCCUGUUCUGACGCUGAGGAGCGAAAGCGUGGGGAGCGAACAGG
Molecule: ribosomal RNA, 253 nt
Filed under: uncultured bacterium
Lineage: Bacteria
Description: partial 16S ribosomal RNA
Rfam family: Bacterial small subunit ribosomal RNA
Source: RNAcentral